GGGGGCGAUCUGGCAUCGACCGGGCUUCGGAAGUGUUUGGUUGCGUGUCGUGGUUGAUCGGCUGGCCACGUAAAAAGUCGAUCAAAAAGUAACUGCUGAACCGCAGUACUCCCUCGCAGUUUGACUGUGAGCCGUUCCGGCAGCUUCGCCCAAGAGGGGCCGGUUCGGACGCAAUUUGGGCUCGUGGGAACCUGAGCGUUGGGGACACCACCCAACCCGCCUCGGCGGCCGUUCCUGCUAAAAAAAUCUGGCCGAUAGUUGUCCCGGGAUCCUGCUUGUCGGAAUCCGGAAUAACGAACACGGGAUGAUCGAAAGAUGCAUCGCGAGAAUUGACAGGCUACACACGUAGACGCCUUCAUGGAUGGGCCACGGGACCGGGGUUCGAUUCCCCGCGCCUCCACUA
This 403-nucleotide transfer-messenger RNA is filed under the name Gemmataceae. Its description in RNAcentral is "Gemmata sp013823135 Standard tmRNA". It matches the Rfam family "transfer-messenger RNA". Rfam says of the family: Bacterial tmRNA, also known as 10Sa RNA or SsrA, is named for its dual tRNA and mRNA-like properties. Its role is to liberate the mRNA from a stalled ribosome. To accomplish this part of the tmRNA is used as a reading frame that ends in a translation stop signal. The record is from RNAcentral. Lineage: Bacteria; Pseudomonadati; Planctomycetota; Planctomycetia; Gemmatales. RNAcentral also lists the same sequence under 1 other name.